Clostridium botulinum D str. 1873 is the source of this 129-nucleotide non-coding RNA. The record is from Rfam. Lineage: Bacteria; Bacillati; Bacillota; Clostridia; Eubacteriales; Clostridiaceae.
UUUGUUAAGAAGAGACUAAGCUGUUUCUCACCUUACAGCAUUGCUAGUAAGGUUAUACAUUCAUUUUGAGUUUAAGAAUUAUUAGUAUGAAUUGUAUAGGACGGCUUUAAGCCGUCCUUUUUAUUUGUA